UACGGAGGGUGCAAGCGUUAUCCGGAUUCACUGGGUUUAAAGGGUGCGUAGGUGGGUAAGUAAGUCAGUGGUGAAAUCUCCGGGCUUAACCCGGAAACUGCCAUUGAUACUAUUUGUCUUGAAUACUGUGGAGGUCAGCGGAAUAUGUCAUGUAGCGGUGAGAUGCUUAGAUAUGACAUAGAACACCAAUUGCGAAGGCAGCUGGCUACACAAAUAUUGACACUGAGGCACGAAAGCGUGGGGAUCAAACAGG
This 253-nucleotide ribosomal RNA is filed under the name uncultured bacterium. RNAcentral's name for it is "partial 16S ribosomal RNA". It matches the Rfam family "Bacterial small subunit ribosomal RNA", at positions 524 to 776 of the family's 1533-position model. The record is from RNAcentral.